UGGGGAGUCGCCAAGUGGUAAGGCAGUAGCCUUUGGAGCUACCUAUCGAAGGUUCGAAUCCUUCCUCCCCAG
This 72-nucleotide transfer RNA is filed under the name Candidatus Kerfeldbacteria bacterium. RNAcentral's name for it is "tRNA-Gln". It matches the Rfam family "tRNA". From Rfam's summary of the family: Transfer RNA (tRNA) molecules are approximately 80 nucleotides in length. The record is from RNAcentral. Lineage: Bacteria; Candidatus Kerfeldiibacteriota.